This 983-nucleotide ribosomal RNA is filed under the name Staphylococcus aureus. RNAcentral describes it as "partial 23S ribosomal RNA". It matches the Rfam family "Bacterial large subunit ribosomal RNA", at positions 1499 to 2480 of the family's 2925-position model. Lineage: Bacteria; Bacillati; Bacillota; Bacilli; Caryophanales; Staphylococcaceae. The record is from RNAcentral.
UGGAUUGCACGUCUAAGCAGUAAGGCUGAGUAUUAGGCAAAUCCGGUACUCGUUAAGGCUGAGCUGUGAUGGGGAGAAGACAUUGUGUCUUCGAGUCGUUGAUUUCACACUGCCGAGAAAAGCCUCUAGAUAGAAAAUAGGUGCCCGUACCGCAAACCGACACAGGUAGUCAAGAUGAGAAUUCUAAGGUGAGCGAGCGAACUCUCGUUAAGGAACUCGGCAAAAUGACCCCGUAACUUCGGGAGAAGGGGUGCUCUUUAGGGUUAACGCCCAGAAGAGCCGCAGUGAAUAGGCCCAAGCGACUGUUUAUCAAAAACACAGGUCUCUGCUAAACCGUAAGGUGAUGUAUAGGGGCUGACGCCUGCCCGGUGCUGGAAGGUUAAGAGGAGUGGUUAGCUUCUGCGAAGCUACGAAUCGAAGCCCCAGUAAACGGCGGCCGUAACUAUAACGGUCCUAAGGUAGCGAAAUUCCUUGUCGGGUAAGUUCCGACCCGCACGAAAGGCGUAACGAUUUGGGCACUGUCUCAACGAGAGACUCGGUGAAAUCAUAGUACCUGUGAAGAUGCAGGUUACCCGCGACAGGACGGAAAGACCCCGUGGAGCUUUACUGUAGCCUGAUAUUGAAAUUCGGCACAGCUUGUACAGGAUAGGUAGGAGCCUUUGAAACGUGAGCGCUAGCUUACGUGGAGGCGCUGGUGGGAUACUACCCUAGCUGUGUUGGCUUUCUAACCCGCACCACUUAUCGUGGUGGGAGACAGUGUCAGGCGGGCAGUUUGACUGGGGCGGUCGCCUCCUAAAAGGUAACGGAGGCGCUCAAAGGUUCCCUCAGAAUGGUUGGAAAUCAUUCAUAGAGUGUAAAGGCAUAAGGGAGCUUGACUGCGAGACCUACAAGUCGAGCAGGGUCGAAAGACGGACUUAGUGAUCCGGUGGUUCCGCAUGGAAGGGCCAUCGCUCAACGGAUAAAAGCUACCCCGGGGAUAACAG